UACGUAGGGUGCGAGCGUUAAUCGGAAUUACUGGGCGUAAAGCGUGCGCAGGCGGUUAUGUAAGACAGUUGUGAAAUCCCCGGGCUCAACCUGGGAAUUGCAUCUGUGACUGCAUAGCUAGAGUACGGGAGAGGGGGAUGGAAUUCCGCGUGUAGCAGUGAAAUGCGUAGAUAUGCGGAGGAACACCGAUGGCGAAGGCAAUCCCCUGGACCUGUACUGACGCUCAUGCACGAAAGCGUGGGGAGCAAACAGG
This 253-nucleotide ribosomal RNA is filed under the name uncultured bacterium. Its description in RNAcentral is "partial 16S ribosomal RNA". It matches the Rfam family "Bacterial small subunit ribosomal RNA", at positions 524 to 776 of the family's 1533-position model. The record is from RNAcentral.